GAAAUGCGAUAGUAAUGUGAAUUGCAGAAUUCAGUGAAUCAUCGAAUCUUUGAACGCACCUUGCGCUCCUUGGUAUUCCUUGGAGCAUGCCUGUUUGAGUAUCAUGAAAUCUUCAAAGUAAAUCUUUUGUUAACUCAAUUGGUUUCUACUUUGGUAUUGGAGGUCUUUGCAGCUUCACACCUGCUCCUCUUUGUUCAUUAGCUGGAUCUCAGUGUUAUGCUUGGUUCCACUCGGCGUGAUAAGUUAUCUAUCGCUGAGGACACUGUAAAAGGUGGCCAAGGUAAAUGCAGAUGAACCACUUCUAAUAGUCCAUUGACUUGGACAAUACUUUUAUGAUCUGAUCUCAAAUCAGGUAGGACUACCCGCUGAACUUAAGC
RNAcentral lists this unclassified non-coding RNA (377 nucleotides) under plant metagenome. RNAcentral describes it as "partial contains 5.8S ribosomal RNA, internal transcribed spacer 2, and large subunit ribosomal RNA". The stretch from base 1 to 104 matches the Rfam family "5.8S ribosomal RNA", at positions 50 to 154 of the family's 154-position model. The record is from RNAcentral.